UUACAAUUUUUAGACAAUUAAAGCUGGUUAAAGGAACUUUUAUUUUGGAAAAAGAACUGCUGCUGUUUCAAGACAUGCGCACUAGCUGCGACAUCUAGUGACGACAUUUACCGGGCUUUAACGGUUGUUGCUGCAUGAAGUCUGCUGCAAUUUCUCUGAGAUUUCUCAAGAUCAUCAGUUUGGACAGAAUUCAUUUGAAGAAUUAAUAGCACUAGCAGGUUCCAAUAAAGGCUGGAACAGAACAGACAGAAAAGAAUCUGUUCAGAAAAAGUACUGUUCGUGCACCAGAUGGUGAAGUAGAAAAGUUCAUAAAAACUUCUGCAGCUUGCAUCUGACAGAGAUGCAAAAAGAAGAAGAGAGCGGGCCUGAAAACAAGCAAAUUCAAGGUUGUCAAUUCAGCAGAAAAGUUUGCUGUUCUCGCUGUUUACAGACAGGAGGUAAGCGCAUGUGAACACGCAGAUGACCUAUGGUGUCUGCGUAAGGGCUGGGCAAAAAAAAUCGAUUUUCCGAUUAAUCGUUUUUUAAAACGUGGUCUAAUAAAAAUCGAUUCUCAAAGAGCAGAAUAGAUUUUUUUCUUUCAUAUUUAUUUCCACAAACAUUGAACGUAAGAUUAACUUUAAUCUAAUUACUAGUCUUCUUCAACGUUAGUGUUGUGGCUUUUAAUUUUUUUAUUAAUUACACACUUGUAAACUGCUGUUCACUGUUCUUUUUUAUUAAUAUAGUAUUUGUAUUAAAUCUAUAUUCAUUGAGUUGAAUCGAGAAUCAAGUAUAAAAACCUACCGGAGAACCAGAAUCGAAAAUUGAAUCGUGAAUCGGAAUCGAAUCGAUUUGAUAGCUUGUGAAGCGAAAUCGAAUCGAUCUGGAACAUCUGAAUCGAUACCCAGCCCUAGUCUGCAUGGACUCGCUGCGCGGUGGGCAGUCAAAUUAUGCUUACGUAUGAGGGACAAGAAAAGGAAACGUCCAUUCGGACCGAAAUUUAUGAUUGGUUGAACAUUUUUUGGUCCUACGCCUUUCACAGAUGACAUAAAUUCUACAAAUACAUUUAAACAACUUAACACAGUGAUUGCUAUCAGGAUGUGAGGAGACUUUUAACCAGCAUAACUAAAAAUCUUUCAGGAUCAAAUCUGUUACCCUACCUUUAAAACAACAUGAGGAUGAGUAAAUGAUGACAGAUUUUUUAUUUUAGGGUGAACUAUUCCUUUAACAUUUACCCAAGUUAACAUUAAUGCAUUCAGUCUAUCUGAUGAAGUAACCAUGAGUCAUUUUCUGUUCCCCUUUUAUCUCUUUUCUCUCAAUCUUUCCUUCUUUUAGGGUACACUUGAGGAGUGUCCAGAUGUUUAUUAAUGUUUUAUUAAUGUAAUGUUAUGUUUCAAAUAAACAUGUAAACAUACUGUA
Molecule: non-coding RNA, 1395 nt
Organism: Paramisgurnus dabryanus
Lineage: Eukaryota; Metazoa; Chordata; Actinopteri; Cypriniformes; Cobitidae
Source: RefSeq, a predicted model, not a curated record